Molecule: non-coding RNA, 117 nt
Organism: Aeromonas schubertii
Lineage: Bacteria; Pseudomonadati; Pseudomonadota; Gammaproteobacteria; Aeromonadales; Aeromonadaceae
Source: Rfam
UUUCACGGCUGAAUUAGAGAUCGGCUGUGAACCUUUAAACACUCUAGCUGGAGUAGACACAUGUCUCUAAAUGCUGAAAUCAAGGCUCAGAUCGUAGCCGAACACGCUCGUGGCGCC